RNAcentral lists this ribosomal RNA (219 nucleotides) under uncultured bacterium. RNAcentral's name for it is "partial 16S ribosomal RNA". It matches the Rfam family "Bacterial small subunit ribosomal RNA", at positions 112 to 334 of the family's 1533-position model. The record is from RNAcentral.
AAUGUCUGGGAAACUGCCUGAUGGAGGGGGAUAACUGCUGGAAACGGUAGCUAAUACCGCAUAACGUCGCAAGACCAAAGAGGGGGACCUUCGGGCCUCUUGCCAUCGGAUGUGCCCAGAUGGGAUUAGCUAGUAGGUGGGGUAACGGCUCACCUAGGCGACGAUCCCUAGCUGGUCUGAGAGGAUGACCAGCCACACUGGAACUGAGACACGGUCCAG